RNAcentral lists this ribosomal RNA (378 nucleotides) under Leptolyngbya sp. TCF-6c. RNAcentral describes it as "bacterial SSU rRNA". It matches the Rfam family "Bacterial small subunit ribosomal RNA", at positions 401 to 796 of the family's 1533-position model. The record is from RNAcentral. Lineage: Bacteria; Bacillati; Cyanobacteriota; Cyanophyceae; Leptolyngbyales; Leptolyngbyaceae. RNAcentral also lists the same sequence under 1 other name.
GAGGGAGGACGGCUUUUGGGUUGUAAACCUCUUUUAUCAGGGAAGAAUCGAUGACGGUACCUGAUGAAUCAGCAUCGGCUAACUCCGUGCCAGCAGCCGCGGUAAUACGGAGGAUGCAAGCGUUAUCCGGAAUUAUUGGGCGUAAAGCGUCCGUAGGUGGUUUAUCAAGUCUGCUGUCAAAGCGUGCGGCUUAACCGCAUAAGGGCAGUGGAAACUGAUGAACUAGAGUGCGAUAGGGGUAACAGGAAUUCCCAGUGUAGCGGUGAAAUGCGUAGAUAUUGGGAAGAACACCAGCGGCGAAAGCGUGUUACUGGGUCUGCACUGACACUGAGGGACGAAAGCUAGGGGAGCGAAAGGGAUUAGAUACCCCUGUAGUCA